RNAcentral lists this ribosomal RNA (320 nucleotides) under uncultured Prevotella sp. RNAcentral describes it as "partial 16S ribosomal RNA". The record is from RNAcentral. Lineage: Bacteria; Pseudomonadati; Bacteroidota; Bacteroidia; Bacteroidales; Prevotellaceae.
GGAGUUUGGUCCGUGUCUCAGUACCAAUGUGGGGGACCUUCCUCUCAGAACCCCUACUGAUCGUCGCCUCGGUGGGCCGUUACCCCGCCGACAAGCUAAUCAGACGCAUCCCCAUCCCUUAGCGAUAAAUCUUUGGUAUUCGUCAGAUGUCCUCAAAAUACAACAUAGAGUAUUAAUCCGACUUUCGCCGGGCUAUCCUCUACUAAGGGGAAGGUUGGAUACGCGUUACUCACCCGUGCGCCGGUCGCCAUCUAUCAAAGCAAGCUUCGAUAAUGAUGCCCCUCGACUUGCAUGUGUUAAGCCUGUAGCUAGCGUUCAUC